UUGCUUCAGCAGCACAUACACUAAAAUUGAGAUGAUGCAGAGAGGAUUAUCAUGGCCCUCACACAAGAGUGACAUACAUUCAUAAAGUGUUCCAUAUUCUG
Small nuclear RNA from Bison bison bison, 101 nucleotides. The record is from Ensembl. Lineage: Eukaryota; Metazoa; Chordata; Mammalia; Artiodactyla; Bovidae.